Molecule: small RNA, 2103 nt
Filed under: Pongo abelii (Sumatran orangutan)
Lineage: Eukaryota; Metazoa; Chordata; Mammalia; Primates; Hominidae
Description: retained intron
Source: RNAcentral
GAAUGAAUGAAUGAAUGAAUGAGAUGACGCCUCAGAGAUUCUUUCUUUUGAGAUGAGGUCUCAUUCUGUCAUCCAAACUAGAGUGCGUGGUGCAAUCAUAGCUCACCACAGCCUCAACCUCCUGGGCCUCCCAAGUAGCUGGGAUCACAGGUGUGCACCAACAUGCCCAGCUAAUUUUUUUUUUUUAUUUUUAAUUUGUACAGACAGGGUCUUGCUGUGUUGCCCAGGCUGGUAGGCUGGUCUUGAACUCCUGGGCUCAAGUGGUCCUCCCACCUAAGCUUUCCCAAAUACUGGGAUUAUAGGUGUGAGCCACUGUGCCCAGGCUUGCCUCAGAUAUUUGAAGGCUGGGAAGGAUUUUGCAAAGCUGGGAAAAGGAAAAGGCAUUCCCAGCAGAGGGGAUAGCAGGUGGAAAUGCAUAAUUAAAAAAAAAAAAAAAGUGGAGCAGAUCCAGUGCAGUGGCUCAUGCCUGUAAUCCCAGCACUUUGGGAGGCAGAGCAGGGAGGAUUGCUUGAGGCUAGGAGUUCAAGACCAGCCUGGGUAACACAGAAAGACCCUGUCUCUACAAAAACAUAAAAAAUUAGCCAGGCGUGGUGGUGCGUGCCUGUAGUACCAGCUACUCGAGAAGCUGAGGCAGGAGGACUGCUUGAAGCCAGGAGUUUGAGGCCAGCCUGGGCAACAUAGUGAGACCCCGUGUCUACAAAAAGUAAACAUAUAUAUAUAUAUAUUUUUUAAAGUGGAGCAGUUCAGUGCAGAGUCUUUUUUGAACAAACGUGAAAUAGUUGUCUUUUUUUUUUUUUUUUGAGAUGGAGUUUUCACUCUUGUUACUCAGGCUGGAGUGCAAUGGCGUGAUCUCGGCUCACCAGAACCUCCGCCUCCUGGGUUCAAACAAUUCUCCUGCCUCAGCCUCCCAGGUAGCUGGGAUUACAGGCAUGCACCACCCAGCCCGGAUAAUUUUGUAUUUUUAGUAGAGAUGGGGUUUCACCAUGUUGGUCAAGCUGGUCUUGAACUCCCGACCUCUGCUGAUCCGUAUGCCUCGGCCUCCCAAAGUGCUGGGAUUACAUGCGUGAGCCACUGUGCCCGACAAUAGAUGUCUUUUAAUUUUCUGGAGGAAAAAGCAAAGCAAAAGAAGCAGUGGAUAUUUUAAGACUAAAAAGGAAAACAAAAAAAGGAGAUAGAGCAGGCCGGGUGUGGUGGCUCAACGUCUGUAAUCCCAGCACUUUGGGAGGCCGAGGCAGGUGGAUGAUCUGAGGUCAGGAGUUCAAGACCAGCCUGACCAACAUGGUGAAACCCCGUCUCAAAAUACAAAAAAUUAGCUGGGUGUGGUGGCGGGAGCCUGUAAUCCCAGCUACUUGGGAGGCUGAGGCAGGAGAAUUGCUUGAACCCAGGAGGUGGAAGUUGCAGUGAGCCGAGAUCGCGCCAUUGCACUCCAGCCUGGGCGACAAGUAAAAAACACCAUCUCAAAAAAAAAAGGAGAUAGAGCAAGAAACAAUAAGAAAAUAGUUGGGUGCAGUGGCUAUGUGGUGGCACUAUAAGAGGCUGAGGCGGGCAGAUCACCUGAGGUCAGGAGUUGGAGACCAGCCUGGGCAACAUAGCGAGACCCCUAUCUCUACAAAAAAUUUGAAAUAUGAAAAAUUAGCCAGGUGUAGUGGUGUGCGCCUGUGGUACCAGCUACUCAAGAGGCUGAGGCAGGGAAGAUUGCUUGAGCCCGGGAGUUUGAGGCUAUAGUGAGCUGUGAUCAUGCCACUGCACUCCAGCCUGGGCAAUAGUGUGAGACUCUGUCUCAAAAGAAAGAAAAUGGCCAGGCGUGGUGGCUCACACCUGUAAUCCCAGCACUUUGGGAGGCUGAGGCAGUCAGAUCAUGAGGCCCGUUUGAAACCAGCCUGGCCAACAUGGUGAAACCCCGUCUCUACUAAAAAUACAAAAAUUAGCCAGGCGUGGUGGCAUGCACCUGUAAUCCCAGCUACUUGGGGGUCUGAGGCAGAAGAAUUGCUUGAAACCAGGAGGCAGAGGUUGCAGUGAGCCGAGAUCGUGUCACUGCGCUCUAGUCUGGGCGACAGAGCAAGACUCCGUCUUGGAAAAAAAGUAAAAAAAAUAAAAUGUAUA